Molecule: ribosomal RNA, 429 nt
Filed under: Bacteroidota bacterium
Lineage: Bacteria; Pseudomonadati; Bacteroidota
Description: Bacteroidetes bacterium partial 16S ribosomal RNA
Rfam family: Bacterial small subunit ribosomal RNA
Source: RNAcentral
UAGGGAAUCUUCGGCAAUGGGGGGAACCCUGACCGAGCAACGCCGCGUGAGUGAAGAAGGUUUUCGGAUCGUAAAGCUCUGUUGUUAAGGAAGAACGAGUGUGAGAAUGGAAAGUUCAUACUGUGACGGUACUUAACCAGAAAGGGACGGCUAACUACGUGCCAGCAGCCGCGGUAAUACGUAGGUCCCGAGCGUUGUCCGGAUUUAUUGGGCGUAAAGCGAGCGCAGGCGGUUAGAUAAGUCUGAAGUUAAAGGCAGUGGCUCAACCAUUGUAGGCUUUGGAAACUGUUUAACUUGAGUGCAGAAGGGGAGAGUGGAAUUCCAUGUGUAGCGGUGAGAUGCGUAGAUAUAUGGAGGAACACCGGUGGCGAAAGCGGCUCUCUGGUCUGUAACUGACGCUGAGGCUCGAAAGCGUGGGGAGCGAACAGG